CCCCGUGUCCCGCAUUCAGAUGCCUUGGCUUGUUUAUUAGAGAGCAGUGGUUUUAAGUGAUAGAUUAAGGAAUGGCUGAACAAUGAAAGGAAAACAGAUUUUUUUCUCACCCAGAUUUUUAAAAUUUGAGAGGAAAUCUCAUGUCUGAGGCUCAAGAUGCUUUUCCACAGCUGAUGGAGUUUGGCAAAGGGUUUGAGCCACUUGGAGGGCAGACAUUUGAGGCUGGGACAUAGAAUCUGCUUUUGCAGUUGUACAGGUAUUUCUUCCUCAGCAACAGGGAGAAGUCUGCACACCUACCAAAGCUGC
This is a non-coding RNA of Microcebus murinus (gray mouse lemur), 306 nucleotides long. The record is from RefSeq and is a predicted model, not a curated record. Lineage: Eukaryota; Metazoa; Chordata; Mammalia; Primates; Cheirogaleidae.